CUAAAUCAUUCUUCCAAAGACACUGCAUUCAUCUCCCAAAUCAUCUUUAUCCCUCUCUGAAACCCUAGCACUGUCCCGCCUACUUCCGUCAUGUUUCUAUCGGAAUCCAUGGCAUGCUUGGCCAGAUGUGUCCUGUACUCACUCUCCCUCACCAUUAAACCCAAGUUACUCGAAGUUUGAAGGCUGACUUCCAUGGCUUCCUUUAGAGCUG
RNAcentral lists this long non-coding RNA (211 nucleotides) under Nicotiana benthamiana. RNAcentral's name for it is "long non-coding RNA (NBEN_LNC033467)". The record is from RNAcentral. Lineage: Eukaryota; Viridiplantae; Streptophyta; Magnoliopsida; Solanales; Solanaceae.